GACGAACGCUGGCGGCGUGCUUAACACAUGCAAGUCGAACGGAAAGGCCCUGCUUGCAGGGUACUCGAGUGGCGAACGGGUGAGUAACACGUGGGUGAUCUGCCCCGCACUUCGGGAUAAGCUUGGGAAACUGGGUCUAAUACCGGAUAGGAACCAUCUUUAGUGUGGUGGUUGGAAAGUUUUUUCGGUUUAGGAUGAGCUCGCGGCCUAUCAGCUUGUUGGUGGGGUAAUGGCCUACCAAGGCGGCGACGGGUAGCCGGCCUGAGAGGGUGUACGGCCACAUUGGGACUGAGAUAAGGCCCAGACUCCUACGGGAGGCAGCAGUGGGGAAUAUUGCACAAUGGGCGCAAGACUGAUGCAGCGACGCCGCGUGGGGGAUGAAGGCAUUCGGGUUGUAAACUCCUUUCGCUAGGGACGAAGCUUUGUUGUGACGGUACCUAGAUAAGAAGCACCGGCUAACUACGUG
RNAcentral lists this ribosomal RNA (466 nucleotides) under uncultured bacterium. Its description in RNAcentral is "partial 16S ribosomal RNA". It matches the Rfam family "Bacterial small subunit ribosomal RNA", at positions 28 to 507 of the family's 1533-position model. The record is from RNAcentral.